AGCGAACGUUAGCGGCGCGCCUAACACAUGCAAGUCGCACAAGAAACGGAGCAAUCCGCGGUACAGUGGCGCACGGGUGAGUAACACGUGGAUGACCUUCCCUGGAGUGGUGGAUAACCUGCCGAAAGGCGGGCUAAUACAGCAUGGGACCACGACGCUUUGGCGAUGUGGUGAAAGCGGGCCUCUAUAUAUAAGCUCGCGCUCCGGGACGGGUCCGCGUCCCAUCAGCUAGUUGGUGAGGUAACGGCUCACCAAGGCAACGACGGGUAGCUGGUCUGAGAGGAUGGCCAGCCACACUGGAACUGAGACACGGUCCAGACUCCUACGGGAGGCAGCAGUGGGGAAUCUUGCGCAAUGGGCGAAAGCCUGACGCAGCGACGCCGCGUGGGCGAGAAGGCCUCGGUGUAAGCC
RNAcentral lists this ribosomal RNA (411 nucleotides) under uncultured bacterium. RNAcentral's name for it is "bacterial SSU rRNA". It matches the Rfam family "Bacterial small subunit ribosomal RNA", at positions 29 to 432 of the family's 1533-position model. The record is from RNAcentral.